AGUCACUUGAAUGGUGAACUAACUGAAAAUAGCUAUUAAUGGACAGCUACUUCUUAAAGAAUGCUUUAGAUUGCAGGUUAAGAUUGAUGACUUUCAUGAGCCUCUUAAGGCUGGUGAUUAAAGCUCCUGAACUAGCAAAUAUGGUCAUGAAUCUACAUCAUGUGCUUUUUUCGCAAGUGUGUUCUUUUGCGAUGUCCUUUUAGCAUACAGUAGUUUGUUCAAACAUGUACAUAUGUGCAGGACUUUCCUGGUCAAUUUGCAAAGCAACAUAUUCAAGAAAACGAGGAAAUGGCAACUCUUAGGUUUUCAAACAGAUCAUGGCCGGUGAAGCUCUUAAGCUAUAUGCAUGAAAUCCGGGUGUUCUUUGCUGCUGGUUGGCCCGUAUUUGCAGAACUCAUCGGUGUAUGGGAGAUAUCUGUGUUUGAGCUCAUUGAUACGUCUCCAUUUUCAUUAAUGCCGGUAAGGAGCUGAUUUACAGCAUUGAUAUUAAUCCAGGAUUCCUAAUUUUGCCUCCUUUGCUCAGUAGUUGCGAAUCAAUGAAAAGUGGGAUUGAACCAUCUACAUGAAGAGCAAGCCAUUCUGAGCUGGAUUUUCAUGGUCCUACACUUUCAAGGCCUCUCACAUCUCCCCUAAACUGGCCAGCAAUAUUGAUUUAGAGCAGACUGUUUUCAG
RNA transcript from Rhodamnia argentea, 672 nucleotides. RefSeq lists it as uncharacterized. NCBI's taxonomy places the organism in Eukaryota, Viridiplantae, Streptophyta, Magnoliopsida, Myrtales, Myrtaceae. The record is from RefSeq and is a predicted model, not a curated record. The transcript is spliced from 3 exons.